RNAcentral lists this ribosomal RNA (490 nucleotides) under uncultured bacterium. RNAcentral's name for it is "partial 16S ribosomal RNA". It matches the Rfam family "Bacterial small subunit ribosomal RNA", at positions 30 to 507 of the family's 1533-position model. The record is from RNAcentral.
AUUGAACGCUGGCGGCAGGCCUAACACAUGCAAGUCGAACGGUAACAGGAAGCAGCUUGCUGCUUCGCUGGCGAGUGGCGGACGGGUGAGUAAUGUCUGGGAAACUGCCUGAUGGAGGGGGAUAACUACUGGAAACGGUAGCUAAUACCGCAUAACGUCGCAAGACCAAAGAGGGGGACCUUAGGGCCUCUUGCCAUCGGAUGUGCCCAGAUGGGAUUAGCUAGUAGGUGGGGUAACGGCUCACCUAGGCGACGAUCCCUAGCUGGUCUGAGAGGAUGACCAGCCACACUGGAACUGAGACACGGUCCAGACUCCUACGGGAGGCAGCAGUGGGGAAUAUUGCACAAUGGGCGCAAGCCUGAUGCAGCCAUGCCGCGUGUAUGAAGAAGGCCUUCGGGUUGUAAAGUACUUUCAGCGGGGAGGAAGGGAGUAAAGUUAAUACCUUUGCUCAUUGACGUUACCCGCAGAAGAAGCACCGGCUAACUCCGUG